UAAUAGACUACCCGGUAGUCCACGCCCUAAACGAUGCGAACUGGAUGUUGGGUACAUUACGGUACUCAGUGUCGAAGCUAACGCGUUAAGUUCGCCGCCUGGGGAGUACGGUCGCAAGACUGAAACUCAAAGGAAUUGACGGGGGCCCGCACAAGCGGUGGAGUAUGUGGUUUAAUUCGAUGCAACGCGAAGAACCUUACCUGGCCUUGACAUCUGUCGAAUCCUGCAGAGAUGCGGGAGUGCCGCAAGGAACGACAAGACAGGUGCUGCAUGGCUGUCGUCAGCUCGUGUCGUGAGAUGUUGGGUUAAGUCCCGCAACGAGCGCAACCCUUGUCCCUAGUUGCCAGCACGUAAUGGUGGGAACUCUAGGGAGACUGCCGGUGACAAACCGGAGGAAGGUGGGGAUGACGUCAAGUCCUCAUGGCCCUUAGGCCAGGGCUACACACGUACUACAAUGGUCGGUACAGAGGGUUGCGAAGCCGCGAGGUGAGCCAAUCCCAGAAACCGAUCCCAGUCCGGAUCGGAGUCUGC
RNAcentral lists this ribosomal RNA (531 nucleotides) under uncultured bacterium. RNAcentral's name for it is "bacterial SSU rRNA". It matches the Rfam family "Bacterial small subunit ribosomal RNA", at positions 776 to 1308 of the family's 1533-position model. The record is from RNAcentral.